CAGCAUCUCCACCUGCAGCACUAACCCCCGCCCCACCACAGGCAAGCUCAUUCACCUUAUCACCUUCCUGAGUUACCUCACCCAGAGAGCCGGUAUCCUGUGGUUUGGGGGUCUCCAGUUGGGGAUCCUGUUUCAUCACCGGAUCCACAAUCACUGGAAAUGCUGUACUGUCCAAAUCCUCCAGCACUGAGGCUUCCACUGCAAUCGAUGGCUCAGCAUCCCUGGCCGUCACUCACCAACAGGCCGCUCCUCUCCUCUCCCUCCGGAUCUCUGCGUCACUGCCAGCCGCCUCAGCUCAGCUCCUCACCACCGGCGCUGGAGGCUUGCGUCCCGGGUCCCGCCGGCGUGGAUUUUCCGCUCACUGCUGCCGAGGGAGAGCUCACAUCGCUACUGCUGCUGGGUGCCAAACACCGGAUGUGUUGAUGCUUCAAGUGGUGACUGUUAUUUUUCCUCUGGUUCCAUCCGCCUAGGAGCCAAGAAAACGUAACUACUUUUCCAGGGAACGGGAUGGACCGUGCUGGUGACAGCUCUACACCAGUAGCCAUAAUGUAAUUAUCAAGUUGUGUAUUCCAACAGCAGAACUGGUUGCCAAAACAAAUUAUGGCAGGAUAGGGCUACUCCAGGUUUUUCUAAUUUAUUGUGUGAUCUCUGGAAGAAUCCCGCCGGUAAGAAUUCCUCAGGAGAUUAAUGCAGCGGAGGUCAGAGUGGGGCCAUUUACCAAGCAGCGUAUAAAUACACGGUCGCUGGGUGCAGGCGCUGUCCUGCCGCCGAGGGGCAUUAAGGCCGGGAUGGCCCUGACUGUGUACAGAGACUGAGCAUGUUUACCAAGCAAUAAAUGAACAAUGCAAAAGCAAGAGCCACGAUUAUACGCUUAUGUACUGAAAGCUCAAACAAGCCCACAGUCCUGCAUGUAUGAAAUAUCGCUUCCAAUAGUCCUUAAAUUUCAUGGACAAAGAUAUUCUAAUCAAUGAUUACUAAACGGUCUAUGAUGUAGAUUGUAACACUGUUGUAGAAGCAAGUACAUCCCUGAGCUUAAGAAUAUUCAUGAAUAUAUAGGUACUGUUUAUACGUAGCUAAACCUGUCAGACGUAAAUUCUACUCGUAUAUAUCCUGCUAUCUAAGAAAUAUGGACAUUUCACACGUCAGGGUGAUACUUGUGGCAAGAUGAGUCUGAUCGACUCGUUUGCAGUCUCCUAGGUAACACAAACGGAUUUGGUUUGCUUCACGUUUGAUGAUAAAUAACGGUGAUGCUUUGGGAAGUAGCAAAAACUAAAUUUCCCAAGUCAGAAGGAGUGAUCUUCUGGGAGUCAUUCUAAAGUUCUCUGCGGAUUUCAUGUUAUCACAUAAUGGGGGUAAUUCCGAGUUGAUCGCAGC
Molecule: long non-coding RNA, 1374 nt
Organism: Pseudophryne corroboree (corroboree frog)
Lineage: Eukaryota; Metazoa; Chordata; Amphibia; Anura; Myobatrachidae
Exons: 3
Source: RefSeq, a predicted model, not a curated record